Molecule: ribosomal RNA, 506 nt
Filed under: uncultured bacterium
Lineage: Bacteria
Description: bacterial SSU rRNA
Rfam family: Bacterial small subunit ribosomal RNA
Source: RNAcentral
AGAGUUUGAUCCUGGCUCAGAUUGAACGCUGGCGGCAUGCUUUACACAUGCAAGUCGAGCGGCAGCGCGGGGCAACCCUGGCGGCGAGCGGCGGACGGGUGAGUAAUGCAUCGGAACGUAUCCCGUAGUGGGGGACAACCCAGCGAAAGCUGGGCUAAUACCGCAUAUGCUCUACGGAGGAAAGUGGGGGACCCGCAAGGGCCUCACGCUAUGGGAGCGGCCGAUGUCCGAUUAGUUAGUUGGUGGGGUAAAGGCCCACCAAGGCGACGAUCGGUAGCUGGUCUGAGAGGAUGAUCAGCCACACUGGGACUGAGACACGGCCCAGACUCCUACGGGAGGCAGCAGUGGGGAAUUUUGGACAAUGGGGGCAACCCUGAUCCAGCCCAUGCCGCGUGCGGGAAGAAGGCCUUCGGGUUGUAAACCGCUUUUGGUCGGGAAGAAAAGGCGUCUCCUAAUACGGGGCGUUCUUGACGGUACCGGCAGAAUAAGCACCGGCUAACUACGUG